RNAcentral lists this long non-coding RNA (422 nucleotides) under Homo sapiens (human). RNAcentral's name for it is "HSALNT0309111". The record is from RNAcentral. Lineage: Eukaryota; Metazoa; Chordata; Mammalia; Primates; Hominidae.
CUGUCUCCUCAUGAGAGAACCUAUGCCAGAAUCACCAACUAAGCCUUUCCCAAAUUCCUGACCCACAGAAACUGUGAACUGGCCAUCUUGCCUGUUUUCAUAAAAGUCUGAAAUACGGAGGAGACCCUGAUUUAUAUUUUCCAUAGAAGAGAAGAGAGAUUGAGAUGACUCUCUUGCAGUGAGGUAUGGCGUGUCCUCUCCAUGACAAUGUGAGGGAAAGUGAUGUAUGCCACUUCCAGGUUCUAUGGAACCCUGGAAUGAAGAGGAUGCCAACCUUGAAAAGCUAUUCUAGUUCUUUCAAUGUGCCAUAAUGGUAUAGGAGCAAAUGUUUCUGCUGAGGACACAGCAACGAAGCACCAAUUUUCACUGAGGUUCCUCACCAAACACUGAAUCCGCAAGUGCCUUGAUAUUGAACUUUCCAG